Molecule: small nucleolar RNA, 148 nt
Filed under: Otolemur garnettii (small-eared galago)
Lineage: Eukaryota; Metazoa; Chordata; Mammalia; Primates; Galagidae
Description: Small nucleolar RNA SNORA41 (ENSOGAG00000022908.1)
Source: RNAcentral
CACCACCCAGGGUGGCAGUCAUUAAUUUCAAAACUGUUACAUAAGGUGGGAGGCACAUGGCGUUCUGCUGUGGGAAGGAAGCUGUUAACACAGUUGAACACCUCUUUCUUAACAAAACAGAAAGUGGGUAUAUAUGUGACAGACAGAA